UUUCUGAGUUAUUUUCUUAGUGGCUUUUAUAUGGUUUAUCAUACACACCUUAACUGAGAAUCUACUUCAGAUUUAUAGUAACUUAAUUUCAAUAAGAUAUAGAAGUGUUGCUUCUACAUAGCUCUAUACCUUUCCAUCCUUUUUUAUGCUAUUAUAUAUAUAUAACAAUAAUAGCACAUAUACAUAUAUAUAUAUAUAUAACAAACCCAAUGGUACAGUUACACUUAUUGCAUUACAUAAUUUUAUGUCUUUUAAAGAAGAGAAGAAAGGAGAACAAGUUUAUAAUUAUGAAGUUUGUUACAUUAACCUUAUUAUUUACCAUUUAUAGCUCUCUUCAUUUGUUCCUGUACAUUCCAAUUGCCAUCUGGUGUUAUUGUCUUACACAAAUACAGCUUUGUUCACAUUCACUUCCUUGAUACUGUUCUUGUCAAAUAUAUUACAUUUCUAUAUGUUUUGGCUCAACAAUACAAUUAAAUACAUAAUUGCGCAAAAUAAAGAGCCAAUGUUUCACCGGGUGAGUUUAGUGCUUAUAGGGAACUCACUGUACCAAUUCAGAGCAUGAAA
This 564-nucleotide long non-coding RNA is filed under the name Pan troglodytes (chimpanzee). RNAcentral describes it as "long non-coding RNA NONPTRT014425". The record is from RNAcentral. Lineage: Eukaryota; Metazoa; Chordata; Mammalia; Primates; Hominidae.